GCAAAUAAUGCAGGUCAGUGUUGCUAUAUAUAUAGAAUCCUAUGGAGAAAAUGAUUAACUACAAAAGAGAAGUGACAUUACUUAUCAAUUCACUUCCUCUGAAAGCUUAGCAUGCCAAAGAAAGCAAUAAUUCGACUACCUAAACCUAUGAGGAGGAGAAUGCACAAACAUAGACUCCAAUCAUGAAGACUGUAUCCCCAGUUCAUUA
This 208-nucleotide unclassified non-coding RNA is filed under the name Hevea brasiliensis (rubber tree). Lineage: Eukaryota; Viridiplantae; Streptophyta; Magnoliopsida; Malpighiales; Euphorbiaceae. The record is from RNAcentral.